Molecule: long non-coding RNA, 1230 nt
Filed under: Carassius auratus (goldfish)
Lineage: Eukaryota; Metazoa; Chordata; Actinopteri; Cypriniformes; Cyprinidae
Description: lncRNA (ENSCARG00000053267.1)
Source: RNAcentral
AAAAAAAAAAAAUAUAUAUAUAUAUAUAUAUAUAUAUAUAUAUAUAUAUAUAUAUAUAUAUAUAUAUAUAUAUAUAUAUAUAUAUAUAUAUAUAUAUAUAUAUAAAGUGAAAGUCGUGACAUUUGCCAAGUAUGGUAGCCCAUACUCGGAAUUGGUGCUCUGCAUUUAGCCCAUCCAAGUGCACACACACAGCAGUGAAGAAGUGAACACACUGUGAUCACACACCCGGAGCAGUGGGCAGCUAUAGAUCCAGCGCCCAGGGAGCAACUGUGGGUUCAGUGCCUUGCUCAAGGGCACUUCAGUCAUGGGUAUUGAGGGUGGAAGAAAGCACUGUUUAUUCACUCCCUCCUCCUACAACUCCUGACAGCAAUGAGACUUGAACAUGCGACCUUCCAACUCUCUAACCAUUAGGCCACAGCUGUCCCCUCUGUGUGUAUGUAUAUAUAUAUAUAUAUAUAUAUAUAUAUAUAUAUAUAUAUACACACUAAAAAAUCCUGGGUUAUUUUUUCUACCCAAGUGCUGGGUUGAGCCAUUUGGGUAAAUUUUUUGGGUUAUUUUCUCAGUCUUGGGUAGUUUUUGGGUAGUUCUAUGUAACCCAACCGCUGGGUUAUUUUCUGGGUCGUUUUCACUGAGAGCUGAAUCAAUGCACCCCCUCCCCCACUCGGACGCAAUAACCCAGCUCAUUGGAGUAACCCCAGAGUGCAGUCUGGACGAUGGGGCGGGGCGACACUUCGAGGCGGAGCGACACGUGUCGCCCCGCCCAUAUUUGUUUCCCCGCCUUUGACAUUUUCCUCCGAGCCAGCAGGGGGCAGUUUGCGUUGAAACAAACAGAUCGGUGGCAACUACAGCAGCAGAGUAAUAACGCUAUUCCGUUGAUUGCUUGAGGAUGACAUGAUCAGGAGGUGGUGGUGUUCUGUUCUCCUGGACAGCUUCACUCCACAAAUAGCUCAACCACUGAGGGGAGGAACUUCACCAUUCACCAUGUCUUCAGGCAGAGUCCAGCAAAGCAGUUGUGGCCAACUGGAAGAAUUGUCCUCCUGUCUCCUGACCGGAACGAGUUCAGACGGAUGUACUGCAUCAGGGAAUGCUUGCAGUGCAGAGCCCUUUUCAAGUUUAACCCACUGGGUACAGGGAAGAGACCGGCGUGGUGAUCUUCUGGGCUUUUGUUUACACAGGAUUUUGUUCCAAGGACUGUUGUUUUUUUUUUUUUUCUUUUUUUUUUCGGCAUGA